UGACAAGAUAGUUUAAUUUAGAAUAUCUAUUUUACACGUAGAAGGUGACUGGUUGGUCUAUUGUUAU
Molecule: transfer RNA, 67 nt
Filed under: Fischoederius cobboldi
Lineage: Eukaryota; Metazoa; Platyhelminthes; Trematoda; Plagiorchiida; Gastrothylacidae
Description: tRNA-Val
Source: RNAcentral